GCCCUUAGAGUUUGAUCCUGGCUCAGGACGAACGCUGGCGGCGUGCUUAACACAUGCAAGUCGAACGAGGUAGCAAUACCUAGUGGCGGACGGGUGAGUAACGCGUAGGUAAUCUGCCCCUUGGUGGGGGACACCCAGCCGAAAGGCUGGCUAAUACCGCAUAAGCUCUACAGGUGUGAAUCCUGUGGAGGAAAGGUUUACUGCCGAGGGAUGAGCCUGCGUCCGAUUAGCUAGUUGGUGAGGUAAUGGCUCACCAAGGCGACGAUCGGUAGCUGGUCUGAGAGGACGAUCAGCCACACUGGAACUGAGACACGGUCCAGACUCCUACGGGCGGCAGCAGUGGGGAAUUUUCCGCAAUGGGCGAAAGCCUGACGGAGCAACGCCGCGUGGGUGAUGAAGUCUUUCGGGACGUAAAGCCCUUUCAGCCGGGAAGAAGUCAGUGACGGUACCGGCAGAAGAAGCAUCGGCUAACUACGUGCCAGCAGCCGCGGUAAUACGUAGGAUGCAAGCGUUGUCCGGAAUUAUUGGGCGUAAAGCGUACGUAGGCGGUUCCGUAAGUCGGAGGUUAAAGACUGCAGCUCAACUGCAGGAGUGCCUUCGAUACUGCGGGGCUGGAGGAUGGUAGAGGAAGUCGGAAUUCCCAGUGUAGCGGUGAAAUGCGUAGAUAUUGGGAGGAACACCAGUGGCGAAAGCGGACUUCUGGGCCAUUCCUGACGCUGAGGUACGAAAGCCAGGGGAGCAAACGGGAUUAGAUACCCCGGUAGUCCUGGCCGUAAACGAUGGAUACUAGGUGUAGGGGGUAUCGACCCCUUCUGCGCCGGAGCUAACGCAGUAAGUAUCCCGCCUGGGGAGUACGGUCGCAAGGCUGAAACUCAAAUGAAUUGACGGGGAAGGGC
This 896-nucleotide ribosomal RNA is filed under the name uncultured bacterium. RNAcentral's name for it is "bacterial SSU rRNA". It matches the Rfam family "Bacterial small subunit ribosomal RNA", at positions 1 to 924 of the family's 1533-position model. The record is from RNAcentral.